RNAcentral lists this ribosomal RNA (440 nucleotides) under uncultured bacterium. Its description in RNAcentral is "partial 16S ribosomal RNA". It matches the Rfam family "Bacterial small subunit ribosomal RNA", at positions 338 to 795 of the family's 1533-position model. The record is from RNAcentral.
CCUACGGGUGGCAGCAGUGGGGGAUAUUGCACAAUGGGGGAAACCCUGAUGCAGCGACGCCGCGUGAGUGAAGAAGUAUUUCGGUAUGUAAAGCUCUAUCAGCAGGGAAGAAAAUGACAGUACCUGACCAAGAAGCCCCGGCUAACUACGUGCCAGCAGCCGCGGUAAUACGUAGGGGGCAAGCGUUAUCCGGAUUUACUGGGUGUAAAGGGAGCGUAGACGGUUAUGUAAGCCUGGUGUGAAAGCCCGGGGCUCAACCCCGGGACUGCUUUGGAAACUGUGUAGCUGGAGUGUCGGAGGGGCAGGCGGAAUUCCUGGUGUAGCGGUGAAAUGCGUAGAUAUCAGGAGGAACACCGGCGGCGAAGGCGGCCUGCUGGACUGAAACUGACGUUGAGGCUCGAAAGCGUGGGGAGCAAACAGGAUUAGAUACCCCGGUAGUC